GUCACGUGGCCGGCCUAGCGGCGCAGCGCAAUCGGCGCAAGCGCAGAUGCAGCGGCUCUGGGGCGGGCGUGCCGGCUGAGGCUGCCUUGGCGGUGCCGAAGCUGCUUUCCUUUCCUCUUCCUCUCCCUGGUCUUCUCUGGGUGGUUUACUUGGAGUGUUGUGCUCACACAGAUAUCUGUGUAUCACGUGCCUGACUGGUGCCCAUAGAGGUGAGAAGAGGGUACCAGAUCCCCUGAAAUUAGAGCUACAGAUGGUUGUGAGCUUCUGUGUGGCUGCUGGAAAUCAAAUCCUGGUCCUCUGCAAGAACAAGUGCUCUUAACUUCCGAGCUACCUCUCCAUUCCUGGUUAUGUUGUCUUUUAUUGCUUGAUGACCCUACUUUUGCCAAAAUCGGCUUUGGCUCAAACUUAAUAGACUCUUCAUCUGUGGUUCCUGUCAGUUUGUGUGUGUGCUUCAGUGGAGUUAAACACAACACCAUACAAACCAAAUAAGGAAAUGAAUUCUUUCUCUUGAUAGGUCAAAGUGCUUGUAAGUAAAAUUUAGAGUUAGCUUUUUAAAAAUGGUCUAAAGAUUUUAUUGCAGAACAGACUUUAGGUAGUAUCAAUAGCAAUGUACUCUUGGAAACUUUUUAUAAUUAAAUAGCCACUUAAUAUUUGAUAUAGUUUAGCCGCAAAAUAGUUCUGUCAGGGAGCAUGUAAAAAGCUCCA
This is a long non-coding RNA of Peromyscus eremicus (cactus mouse), 705 nucleotides long. RefSeq lists it as uncharacterized. The record is from RefSeq and is a predicted model, not a curated record. The transcript has 3 exons. Lineage: Eukaryota; Metazoa; Chordata; Mammalia; Rodentia; Cricetidae.